UGNUGUGAAAUGUUGGGUUAANUCCCGCNANGAGNGCAACCCUUAUCCUUGUUUGCCAGCSAGUAAUGUYGGGAACUCCAGGGAGACUGCCGGUGAUAAACCGGAGGAAGGUGGGGACGACGUCAAGUCAUCAUGGCCCUUACGAGUAGGGCUACACACGUGCUACAAUGGCGCAUACAGAGGGCAGCAAGCUAGCGAUAGUGAGCGAAUCCCAAAAAGUGCGUCGUAGUCCGGAUUGGAGUCUGCAACUCGACUCCAUGAAGUCGGAAUCGCUAGUAAUCGUNGAUCAGAAUGCYACGGUGAAUACGUUCCCGGGCCUUGUACACACCGCCCGUCACACCAUGGGAGUGGGCUGCAAAAGAAGUGGGUAGUUUAACCUU
Molecule: ribosomal RNA, 380 nt
Filed under: Vibrio sp. A319
Lineage: Bacteria; Pseudomonadati; Pseudomonadota; Gammaproteobacteria; Vibrionales; Vibrionaceae
Description: partial 16S ribosomal RNA
Rfam family: Bacterial small subunit ribosomal RNA
Source: RNAcentral